This 497-nucleotide ribosomal RNA is filed under the name uncultured bacterium. Its description in RNAcentral is "partial 16S ribosomal RNA". It matches the Rfam family "Bacterial small subunit ribosomal RNA", at positions 28 to 507 of the family's 1533-position model. The record is from RNAcentral.
GAUGAACGCUGGCGGCGUGCCUAAUACAUGCAAGUCGAGCGAACAGACGAGGAGCUUGCUCCUCUGACGUUAGCGGCGGACGGGUGAGUAACACGUGGAUAACCUACCUAUAAGACUGGGAUAACUUCGGGAAACCGGAGCUAAUACCGGAUAAUAUAUUGAACCGCAUGGUUCAAUAGUGAAAGACGGUUUGUCGUUCAUUUAUAAAUGGAUCCCCGCGGCAUUAGCUAGUUGGUAAGGUAACGGCUUACCAAGGCACCGUUGGGUAGCGAACCUGAGAGGGUGGACGGCCACCCUGGAACUGAGACACGGUCCCGACCCCUAAGGGAGGCAGCAGUAGGGAAUCUUCCGCAAUGGGGGAAAGCGUGACGGAGCAACGCCGCGUGAGUGAUGAAGGUCCUCGGAUCGUAAAACUCUGUUAUUAGGGAAGAACAAAUGUGUAAGUAACUAUGCCCGUCUUGACGGUACCUACUCAGAAAGCCACGGCUAACUACGUG